UCUGUUUACAGAAUCCAAGCACUGGCCACAACCACGUGGGUUACUCCGUGUUCAGAGCUGAAUACGGUCCACUGGGCGACAGACAGUGAUUGUGGCCUCAAGAUCCAAUCACCCAGAGAGAGGUGCAAGGGAACUCAGCUCCCGGCUUUUUCAGUUGUGCCCUCUUCCUGAAUCCAUCUGUGGUGUCAACCAGUCAUGGAUGCAGGAGACUCUGAACUUAAGCCCAGCAGCACCACACCAAGCAUCAGGAAGAAGACAGAUGAAUACCUAAAACCCACCGUGGUUUCCAAAAACGUGGUGAGCUUUUUACUCGGUAGGCAGCUGGGGAGGCACAGAAGUGAUGUGGAUCUGUCAAAGUGGCUGUGGAUGCUGACAAGAGACAUGCCAGGGUGGAGGUGGCCUUUGCCAAAAAAUCAUGUGACUUACCUGCUUAUGCCUGCCAAUAAUUUUGGAAAAUGCAAAAAAAAAAAUGUUUAAAAUAAACUUAUGCCUUAUCUCAGCUGUUAAAAUAAAAGCUGUGUAUUCAGUC
Molecule: long non-coding RNA, 529 nt
Filed under: Equus asinus (donkey)
Lineage: Eukaryota; Metazoa; Chordata; Mammalia; Perissodactyla; Equidae
Description: lncRNA (ENSEASG00005030408.1)
Source: RNAcentral